UCAAGCGAACAAGUGCAUGUGGUGGAUGCCUUGGCGAUCACAGGCGAUGAAGGACGCGGUAGCCUGCGAAAAGCUUCGGGGAGCUGGCAAACAAGCUUUGAUCCGGAGAUGUCCGAAUGGGGAAACCCGGCCCGUAUGGGUCAUCCCUUGCUGAAUACAUAGGCAAGGGAAGCGAACGCGGCGAACUGAAACAUCUAAGUAGCUGCAGGAACAGAAAUCAACCGAGAUUCCCAAAGUAGUGGCGAACGAAAUGGGAAGAGCCUUGUACUCUUUAGCAGUGGUGUUAGCAGAACGGGAUGGAAAGCCCGGCCAUAGCAGGUGAUAGCCCUGUAUGCGAAAACACGAUUGUGGAACUAGGUGUACGACAAGUAGGGCGGGACACGUGAAAUCCUGUCUGAAGAUGGGGGGACCAUCCUCCAAGGCUAAAUACUCGUGAUCGACCGAUAGUGAACCAGUACCGUGAGGGAAAGGCGAAAAGAACCCCGGGAGGGGAGUGAAAUAGAUCCUGAAACCGCAUGCAUACAAACAGUCGGAGCCCUUUCGGGGGUGACGGCGUACCUUUUGUAUAAUGGGUCAGCGACUUACAUUCAGUGGCAAGCUUAACCGAUUAGGGAAGGCGUAGCGAAAGCGAGUCCGAACAGGGCGUUGAGUCGCUGGGUGUAGACCCGAAACCAGAUGAUCUAUCCAUGGCCAGGUUGAAGGUGCGGUAACACGUACUGGAGGACCGAACCCACUAACGUUGAAAAGUUAGGGGAUGAGCUGUGGAUAGGGGUGAAAGGCUAAACAAAUCUGGAAAUAGCUGGUUCUCUCCGAAAACUAUUUAGGUAGUGCCUCGUGUCUCACCUUCGGGGUAGAGCACUGUCAUGGUUGGGGGGUCUAUUGCUGAUUACCCCGCCAUAGCAAACUCCGAAUACCGAAGAGUGCAAUCACGGGAGACAGACAUCGGGUGCUAACGUCCGGUGUCAAGAGGGAAACAACCCAGACCGCCAGCUAAGGUCCCCAAGAUUGGCUAAGUGGGAAACGAAGUGGGAAGGCUAAAACAGUCAGGAGGUUGGCUUAGAAGCAGCCACCCUUUAAAGAAAGCGUAAUAGCUCACUGAUCGAGUCGUCCUGCGCGGAAGAUGUAACGGGGCUAAGCCAGUCACCGAAGCUGCGGACGCACGCAAGUGCGUGGUAGGAGAGCGUUCUGUAAGCCUGUGAAGGUGUCUUGUAAAGGAUGCUGGAGGUAUCAGAAGUGCGAAUGCUGACAUGAGUAGCGAUAAAGGGGGUGAAAGGCCCCCUCGCCGUAAGCCCAAGGUUUCCUACGCAACGUUCAUCGGCGUAGGGUGAGUCGGCCCCUAAGGCGAGGCAGAGAUGCGUAGCUGAUGGGAAGCAGGUUAAUAUUCCUGCACCGUCGUAUGAUGCGAUGGGGGGACGGAUCGCGGAAGGUUGUCCGGGUGUUGGAAGUCCCGGUCCCUGCAUUGGAGAAGGCGCUCAGGCAAAUCCGGGCGCGGAAUUCAAGGAUGUGGGGCGAGCGGCCUAGUGCUGCGAAGCAAUUGGAAGUGGUUCCAAGAAAAGCCUCUAAGCUUCAGUCAUACGAGACCGUACCGCAAACCGACACAGGUGGGCGAGAUGAGUAUUCUAAGGCGCUUGAGAGAACUCGGGAGAAGGAACUCGGCAAAUUGGUACCGUAACUUCGGGAUAAGGUACGCCCUGGUAGCUUGACUGGCCUGCGCCAGAAGGGUGAAGGGGUUGCAAUAAAAUGGUGGCUGCGACUGUUUAAUAAAAACACAGCACUCUGCAAACACGAAAGUGGACGUAUAGGGUGUGACGCCUGCCCGGUGCCGGAAGAUUAAAUGAUGGGGUGCAAGCUCUUGAUUGAAGUCCCGGUAAACGGCGGCCGUAACUAUAACGGUCCUAAGGUAGCGAAAUUCCUUGUCGGGUAAGUUCCGACCUGCACGAAUGGCGUAACGAUGGCCACACUGUCUCCUCCCGAGACUCAGCGAAGUUGAAGUGUUUGUGAUGAUGCAAUCUCCCCGCGGCUAGACGGAAAGACCCCAUGAACCUUUACUGUAGCUUUGCAUUGGACUUUGAACCGAUCUGUGUAGGAUAGGUGGGAGGCUUUGAAGCGUGGACGCUAGUUCACGUGGAGCCGUCCUUGAAAUACCACCCUGGUUUGUUUGAGGUUCUAACCUUGGCCCGUGAAUCCGGGUCGGGGACAGUGCAUGGUAGGCAGUUUGACUGGGGCGGUCUCCUCCCAAAGUGUAACGGAGGAGUUCGAAGGUACGCUUGGUACGGUCGGACAUCGUACCUAAAGUGCAAUGGCAAAAGCGUGCUUAACUGCGAGACCGACAAGUCGAGCAGGUGCGAAAGCAGGACAUAGUGAUCCGGUGGUUCUGAAUGGAAGGGCCAUCGCUCAACGGAUAAAAGGUACUCUGGGGAUAACAGGCUGAUACCGCCCAAGAGUUCAUAUCGACGGCGGUGUUUGGCACCUCGAUGUCGGCUCAUCUCAUCCUGGGGCUGUAGCCGGUCCCAAGGGUAUGGCUGUUCGCCAUUUAAAGAGGUACGUGAGCUGGGUUUAAAACGUCGUGAGACAGUUUGGUCCCUAUCUGCCGUGGGCGUUGGAAUCUUGACGGGGGCUGCUCCUAGUACGAGAGGACCGGAGUGGACGUACCGCUGGUGUACCUGUUGUCUCGCCAGAGGCAUCGCAGGGUAGCUAUGUACGGAAGAGAUAACCGCUGAAAGCAUCUAAGCGGGAAACUCGCCUGAAGAUGAGGAUUCCCUGGAGGCUUGACCUCCUUGAAGGGUCGUUCGAGACCAGGACGUUGAUAGGCUGGGUGUGGAAGCGCAGUAAUGCGUUAAGCUAACCAGUACUAAUUGCCCGUAAGGCUUGAUCCU
RNAcentral lists this ribosomal RNA (2876 nucleotides) under Cupriavidus taiwanensis. RNAcentral's name for it is "bacterial LSU rRNA". It matches the Rfam family "Bacterial large subunit ribosomal RNA". Lineage: Bacteria; Pseudomonadati; Pseudomonadota; Betaproteobacteria; Burkholderiales; Burkholderiaceae. The record is from RNAcentral.